This 489-nucleotide ribosomal RNA is filed under the name uncultured bacterium. RNAcentral's name for it is "partial 16S ribosomal RNA". It matches the Rfam family "Bacterial small subunit ribosomal RNA", at positions 28 to 507 of the family's 1533-position model. The record is from RNAcentral.
GACGAACGCUGGCGGCGUGCUUAACACAUGCAAGUCGAACGGUGAAGGGAUCAGCUUGCUGGUUCUGGAUGAGUGGCGAACGGGUGAGUAACACGUGAGUAACCUGCCCCCUUCUUCUGGAUAACCGCAUGAAAGUGUGGCUAAUACGGGAUAUUCUGCGCCUGCUGCAUGGUGGGUGUGGGAAAGAUAUUGUUUCGGUGGGGGAUGGGCUCGCGGCCUAUCAGCUUGUUGGUGGGGUGAUGGCCUACCAAGGCGGUGACGGGUAGCCGGCCUGAGAGGGUGGACGGUCACACUGGGACUGAGACACGGCCCAGACUCCUACGGGAGGCAGCAGUGGGGAAUAUGGCACAAUGGGCGCAAGCCUGAUGCAGCGACGCCGCGUGAGGGAUGGAGGCCUUCGGGUUGUGAACCUCUUUCGCCAGUGAAGCAGGCCUGUCCCUUGUGGGUGGGUUGACGGUAGCUGGAUAAGAAGCGCCGGCUAACUACGUG